UUGGACUGAAGGGGCCUCUU
RNAcentral lists this microRNA (20 nucleotides) under Glycine max (soybean). RNAcentral describes it as "gma-miR319f". Its record names the gene gma-miR319f. The record is from miRBase by way of RNAcentral. Lineage: Eukaryota; Viridiplantae; Streptophyta; Magnoliopsida; Fabales; Fabaceae.